Molecule: unclassified non-coding RNA, 365 nt
Filed under: Hevea brasiliensis (rubber tree)
Lineage: Eukaryota; Viridiplantae; Streptophyta; Magnoliopsida; Malpighiales; Euphorbiaceae
Source: RNAcentral
GCCCAAAUGAAGAAUGAAGAGGAUCCCUAGAAAGGACCAGGAGCUACAUCGAAACCCAAGAAGGGUCUGGCAUUGAAAUUAGGAUGAGAAGCAUCACCAACAUGAAUUGUGUCCUUCAAUUUGUGAAACCCAUUCUUGAAAACACCAAAUCCAAACAGCAAACCGAUCAAGAUCACCACAAGAAUCACGCAAGUGCAGAGCAUACACAUCCUACCACCGCAGCACAUCUUGUUCGAUUUCUUGGACUAGUUUGAAGCAGAUUUGAACGAGUAAUAUAGUGAGGGUUGAGCACUGUGAUCUGAAAAGGCGUGAAAGGAAAGAGUAGGUUUUGGAGUUGGGAGGGGUAUCUGAAUCAAGGAAGGAAA